RNAcentral lists this unclassified non-coding RNA (433 nucleotides) under soil metagenome. RNAcentral's name for it is "partial contains 5.8S ribosomal RNA, internal transcribed spacer 2, and large subunit ribosomal RNA". The stretch from base 1 to 120 matches the Rfam family "5.8S ribosomal RNA", at positions 35 to 154 of the family's 154-position model. The record is from RNAcentral.
GAUGAAGAACGCAGCGAAAUGCGAUACGUAAUGUGAAUUGCAGAAUUCAGUGAAUCAUCGAAUCUUUGAACGCAUAUUGCGCUCUCUGGUAUUCCGGAGAGCAUGCUUGUUUGAGUAUCAGUAAACACCUCAAUUUCCAUAUCUUUUUUGAAAUGGGAGUUGGACUUGAGUGAUCCCAACGCUUUUCCUCACCGAAAAGUGGCGGGUUACUUGAAAUGCAGGUGCAGCUGGACUUUUCUCUGAGCUAUAAGCAUAUCUAUUUAGUCUGCCUAAAAAACAGAUUAUUACCUUUGCUGCAGCUAACAUAAAGGAGAUUAGUUCUUGUGCUGACUGAUGCAGGAUUCACAAAGACAGGCUUCGGCCGACUUUGUAAACUCGAUCUCAAAUCAAGUAAGACUACCCGCUGAACUUAAGCAUAUCAAUAAGCGGAGGA